CCCGUGCCAGGCCUGCGCCGACGCGUGCUAAUCCGCUUGGCUUGACUCUCAGGACAACCCCAUGAGGCAAUGCACUGCUUUCACCCCCAUUUUACAGAAUUUACUUGCUCUCCCUGACCUCCCUGGAAGCUCUAGUGAUUGCUCCUCCUCGAGAGACCCUUAUGUCUAACUCGAUUCUCUGCUGCUAAGAAGUGACCGUCUCUCCACCUCCUGGACCCCCACCCUGGACCAGGAGGCAGCAAAGGGGUGCUGCAGACUGUGGGUCCUGCUAAUCUCCGAGGCUGCCCUUGGGCACAUGACUUUCCCUCUCUAUGCCUCAGUUUCCCCAUGUAAACCAUGCCUUCCCUGGAAUUAGAAGUCUAGGAUUAUGGCUGGAAGGGCACACCUGUGGUCUCUGGGACUAAUGACCACCCCUCCCAGGUCAGCAGGGUGCUGGGGUCACAGAGACCUGGCUUAAAAUCUCAACUUCCCCCAGUUCCCUGCUGUGUCACCCGGGCAAUGACUUCACUUCUCUGUGCCUGUUUCUUCCUCCACAAAAUGAGAAGUUGAGUGGACUUCUCCUCACCAGGUGUUGAGAGGACUAAGUGGGCCAGUUAUUAGUGGUAGCUCAGCCCAGAGUGAAUGGCCCCAUCUUGUCUCCUCUGAGGGUGGGACAGGGUGACAAGGAAGCCCUGGCCUGAUGGGUAGGAGACAAGGUCUUGCUAUGUCGCUCGGACUGCAGGCAUAUUUUCCUGAUGUGGUCCACUUUUAGAUGAGGAAACUGAGGCUCCACAAGAUUAAGUAACUGCCUAGAAGUCACAAAGAAGGGGAAAUCGAGGUCCCAAGAACAAGAGAGCUGCCCUCGGCCCACACACUCCAAGCUGGGACUUCAUUUCCCUCUCGGGAUCUUCAGCAGAUUCUUCUCCCUGAGGCCCUUUUAGCCUCACUGGUCCUCAGAGCACCCUCAGCCCCUCUCUCCCACCCUGCCAAGGGUGGGAGGGUCAAGCUGGGCCAAGGGCAUCUGCUGGCCUCUCCAGUCCUGCAGGUUGGAAGCCAUUGCACCACCUGAAGAGGGUGACAGGGAGUGGAAGGAACUUGGGUGUCCUCCCAACCCUACCUCUUAGGGUCGCCACCCUAAGCCCGGCCCCCUGAGCCUCAGCUUCCCUUUCUGUACAAUGGAGUACAGGAGCUUGCUGCAGCCCCCACAACACUGGCAGGGAGGGGUUGGCAUCGUCCCCAUUUUCCAGAAAAACAAACUGAGUCUCAAGACAGGGGAUGGCUUGUCUGGGGUCCCACAGGGAGCAAGGGGUGGAGGUGAGAUUUGAACCCAGGUCUGUGCCCCAGAUGUUCCACCAUGUCAGGGCGCUAAGGGGAAGAGAUCCGGGGAGAGAGACGGAAAAGAGAGAAGAGGGAAGGGGUGAGGCCUCUGCCCACAGCCGUUCCUCACAUCCUGGGUUAACGAUCCACCCAGGUGGGGCCCGAGUCCGGCCAAAGUCCCUUCCCGGGGACUGGGACCCCACACCCACGUUUAGGGUCCCAGAGAGGCGCUGCGGAGGACAUGGGGACAGAGGGCGGGGUCGGAGACCGUGAGAGGCAGCUAGGGACGGAGUCGCAAAGACAGAGGGAGAGCCAGAGAAUCGGGGAGGCUCCCCGCGCCCCUGGGCAGGUCCGGGUGCAGCCCCCUCGCCUCUGCCCCCCGUGUUCCCAAAGUCUCCUCCUCCGCCGCCGCCUCUGCCUAGGUGACCCGGACUCAACCCCGCCGGCGCCCCGCCCCCA
This is a non-coding RNA of Microcebus murinus (gray mouse lemur), 1755 nucleotides long. NCBI's taxonomy places the organism in Eukaryota, Metazoa, Chordata, Mammalia, Primates, Cheirogaleidae. The record is from RefSeq and is a predicted model, not a curated record.